RNAcentral lists this ribosomal RNA (253 nucleotides) under uncultured bacterium. RNAcentral describes it as "partial 16S ribosomal RNA". It matches the Rfam family "Bacterial small subunit ribosomal RNA", at positions 524 to 776 of the family's 1533-position model. The record is from RNAcentral.
UACAGGGGGUGCUAGCGUUGUUCGGAAUUACUGGGCGUAAAGGGCGCGUAGGCGGUUUCGCAAGUCAGGGGUGAAAUCCCGGAGCUUAACUCCGGAAUUGCUUUUGAUACUGUGAGGCUAGAGUGUAUUAGAGGAUGGCGGAAUUCCUAGUGUAGUGGUGAAAUACGUAGAUAUUAGGAAGAACACCGGUGGCGAAGGCGGCCAUCUGGGAUACAACUGACGCUGAGGCGCGAAAGCGUGGGGAUCAAACAGG